UAGCUGCGGCGACGCUGUGGC
RNAcentral lists this unclassified non-coding RNA (21 nucleotides) under Chlamydomonas reinhardtii. Its description in RNAcentral is "small RNA Cre_2303". Lineage: Eukaryota; Viridiplantae; Chlorophyta; Chlorophyceae; Chlamydomonadales; Chlamydomonadaceae. The record is from RNAcentral.